GACGAACGCUGGCGGCGCGCCUAAUACAUGCAAGUAGAACGCUGAAGAGAGGAGCUUGCUCUUCUUGGAUGAGUUGCGAACGGGUGAGUAACGCGUAGGUAACCUGCCUUGUAGCGGGGGAUAACUAUUGGAAACGAUAGCUAAUACCGCAUAACAAUGGAUGACACAUGUCAUUUAUUUGAAAGGGGCAAUUGCUCCACUACAAGAUGGACCUGCGUUGUAUUAGCUAGUAGGUGAGGUAAUGGCUCACCUAGGCGACGAUACAUAGCCGACCUGAGAGGGUGAUCGGCCACACUGGGACUGAGACACGGCCCAGACUCCUACGGGAGGCAGCAGUAGGGAAUCUUCGGCAAUGGGGGCAACCCUGACCGAGCAACGCCGCGUGAGUGAAGAAGGUUUUCGGAUCGUAAAGCUCUGUUGUAAGUCAAGAACGGGUGUGAGAGUGGAAAGUUCACACUGUGACGGUAGCUUACCAGAAAGGGACGGCUAACUACGUG
This 497-nucleotide ribosomal RNA is filed under the name uncultured bacterium. Its description in RNAcentral is "partial 16S ribosomal RNA". It matches the Rfam family "Bacterial small subunit ribosomal RNA", at positions 28 to 507 of the family's 1533-position model. The record is from RNAcentral.